Molecule: ribosomal RNA, 776 nt
Filed under: uncultured bacterium
Lineage: Bacteria
Description: bacterial SSU rRNA
Rfam family: Bacterial small subunit ribosomal RNA
Source: RNAcentral
UCGACGGCAGCACGGGAGCAAUCCUGGUGGCGAGUGGCGAACGGGUGAGUAAUAUAUCGGAACGUGCCCAGUCGUGGGGGAUAACGCAGCGAAAGCUGUGCUAAUACCGCAUACGAUCUCUGGAUGAAAGCGGGGGACUCGCAAGGGCCUCGCGCGAUUGGAGCGGCCGAUAUCAGAUUAGCUAGUUGGUGGGGUAAAAGCCCACCAAGGCGACGAUCUGUAGCUGGUCUGAGAGGACGACCAGCCACACUGGAACUGAGACACGGUCCAGACUCCUACGGGAGGCAGCAGUGGGGAAUUUUGGACAAUGGGCGCAAGCCUGAUCCAGCAAUGCCGCGUGCAGGAUGAAGGCCUUCGGGUUGUAAACUGCUUUUGUACGGAACGAAACGGUCCUUUCUAAUAAAAGGGGCUAAUGACGGUACCGUAAGAAUAAGCACCGGCUAACUACGUGCCAGCAGCCGCGGUAAUACGUAGGGUGCGAGCGUUAAUCGGAAUUACUGGGCGUAAAGCGUGCGCAGGCGGUUAUAUAAGACAGAUGUGAAAUCCCCGGGCUCAACCUGGGCACUGCAUUUGUGACUGUAUAGCUAGAGUACGGUAGAGGGGGAUGGAAUUCCGCGUGUAGCAGUGAAAUGCGUAGAUAUGCGGAGGAACACCGAUGGCGAAGGCAAUCCCCUGGACCUGUACUGACGCUCAUGCACGAAAGCGUGGGGAGCAAACAGGAUUAGAUACCCUGGUAGUCCACGCCCUAAACGAUGUCAACUGGUUGUUGGGUCUUC